RNAcentral lists this ribosomal RNA (253 nucleotides) under uncultured bacterium. RNAcentral's name for it is "partial 16S ribosomal RNA". It matches the Rfam family "Bacterial small subunit ribosomal RNA", at positions 524 to 776 of the family's 1533-position model. The record is from RNAcentral.
UACGGAGGGUGCAAGCGUUGUUCGGAAUCAUUGGGCGUAAAGGGCGCGUAGGCGGUCCGGUAAGUCGGGUGUGAAAGCCCCCGGCUCAACCCGGGAAUUGCAUUCGAAACUGCCGGACUUGAGGACGGGAGGUGGAAGUUGAAUUACUGGUGUAGGGGUGACAUCCGUAGAUAUCAGGAGGAACACCGGUGGCGAAGGCGACUUCCUGGACCGAUACUGACGCUGAGGCGCGAAAGCUUGGGGAGCAAACAGG